RNA transcript from Amblyraja radiata (thorny skate), 750 nucleotides. It is a transcript of the gene named COPI coat complex subunit zeta 2, with no coding region annotated. The transcript has 10 exons. NCBI's taxonomy places the organism in Eukaryota, Metazoa, Chordata, Chondrichthyes, Rajiformes, Rajidae. The record is from RefSeq and is a predicted model, not a curated record.
CCGUUGCAUCCUAAAUAAACCCUCCUAUGGUGACGGAGCCAGUCAGAGAGGCUGGGAGUGGAGACGAGAUUUGUCCACGUCGGCACAGCUGCUGUAACAUGGAUCCCGCUGCACUGGAACCGUCCUCUCACUGUCAAGGCUCUCAUCAUCUUGGACAACGAUGGAGAACGCCUCUCGCCAAGUAUUACGAUGGGACCUACCCCUCCACAAAGGAACAAAAGAAUUUCGAAAAGAAUAUUUUCAGCAAGACUCACAAGAACGACAGUGAGAUCGCGUUCCUGGAGGGACUGACUGUCAUCUACAAGAAUUGUGUCGACCUGUACUUCUACAUUGUAGGGAGUCCACAUGAGAAUGAGCUCAUGCUCAUGUCCGUUCUCAACUGCCUGUUUGAGUCUGUGAGUCAGAUGUUACGGAAGAAUGUGGAGAAGAAGUCUCUGAUGGAUAACAUGGACGGGUUGUUGUUGAUCACGGAUGAGAUUGUAGAUGGAGGGGUGAUUUUGGAAAGUGAUCCACACCAGGUGAUUCAGAAAGUAAACUUCCGGACUGUGUCAGAAGCAGCUUACGGCUUCGUCCUCUUUGACUAUCUGACAAGCGGCAGCAGCCCUGACAGUCGACCUCUCAACUGAGGAAGGGGAGUGCGCAGGUUGAUGACACACCUUUAACUGAACAGAGUAUGGCUCAGGUCCUCCAGUCAGCCAAGGAGCAGAUCAAGUGGUCGCUGUUGAAAUAAAUCGGGAAUCUCCCUCUCUC